UAUUGUAUGAAAAAUCUUCGACAGUUAUUGUUCCGAAUUGUCUCGUCGAGUGAUUUGUAUAUUGAUUGUAGUUGUGUCUGCAUAAUACACCAACUACAAGACACACAAAGUCCAUCAGUCAAGAAACGCUGCAUAGCUCACCUAAAGUCAUCAAUACCAUUCAAAUGAGAAGGAAUCUUUGUUGAACGUUGUCAUUUAUACUGCAUUAGGUUGCAUGUUUAAUGUUUUCUUUAUCAUGAGGCAUUGCGAUAAUUAAGCUGAUAGAUAUCGAGCCAACAUUAUUACUAUUCAUCCAGAAGUUGCCACUACUGUUUGCAGAACUGGUGAUAACAUCAUAACGAAGACUUUAAUUUGGUAAUUUAGUCAUCUAAUCCAGAUUUUUCCGAGAUGCUAUUCUUUCUUCCUUUAAGAGGAUUAUCAAGAGAGAGAAAGAGAGACAAAGAGAAUCGUAAGAUCAAAUAUUUGUUAAUGUACUACAAUUGGCAGUAGUUUUGAUCACUUCUACGUAUGAUCGAAGCAGCAACAAGAAAAGUGUUGCUGAUUUACAUUUGUCUAAUAAUCUGCGCUAACGGCACACCCUGCCUCUUGACGCCCUACUUAAGUGACCACAAGGAUUGUUCACUGUAACAGGUCCAUAAACAGGCACUUUAUUCACUUGAAAAGCAAGAGCAGCAGUUUAUUAAUACAGACAUAUCCUAAAGCGGAUUUAUAGUAUCAUCAGUUUGGACUGACUGCAGGCGUUCCUAUUGUCAAUGAGUGAAUUCUAUGUACAUGAUCCAACUUAUAACCCGACAUUCCAUCGUCAAGCAAGUUGAUGUUGUACGUCAACUAUUCAUGUUCUUAUAAGCGACACGAAUAAACGCAAGAAUUGUUCAUUGCAACAGGCCUAGUAUCGGCAGCUUCAUUACUUCGAAAAGCAAGAGCGAAACUUUAAAACUGGUAUUUGGUUUUAAUUCUUUAAAAUGCCAAGAAAGUGUUAUGGCAAACCUUAUACGACAAGGCAUAUCCGCCGACAAAUCAGUGAAAGAAGAGCAUCUAUAAUGAAAGAUGUAAAUGCUCAAUUUUUACAAUAUCUUGACUUAGCCUGCCAAACCUUUGAAAAUGAUUGCG
This 1110-nucleotide long non-coding RNA is filed under the name Nasonia vitripennis (jewel wasp). RNAcentral's name for it is "uncharacterized LOC116417566, transcript variant X2". The record is from RNAcentral. Lineage: Eukaryota; Metazoa; Arthropoda; Insecta; Hymenoptera; Pteromalidae.